GGGAAGGCUUUGCGGGCGCGCCGCGGGCUCGGCUGUGUUGGUUUCACACGGCGCGCGCGCAGCGCCGUCCAGCGGUCGGCCCCGCGGCUCCUCCCAGCCGGAGGGGUGCGGCCGGCGGGAGCGCGAGCGGCACCGGCGUCUUGGAGGCCCCGCAGGUGCUAGAAGUUAAAGAACUUUUGUCUGGGAAUAGAAGUUGGUUGGACUCGUGUUUCUCUUUAGGAUUCACAGAUGGAGUCAGUGGAAAAGACCACGAACAGAAGUGAGCAGAAGUCAAGGAAGUUUUUAAAAAGCCUCAUCAGGAAGCAGCCCCAGGACCUGCUGCUGGUCAUCGGGACUGGCGUGAGUGCGGCCGUGGCCCCAGGAAUCCCCGCGCUCUGCUCCUGGAGGGGCUGCAUCGAGGCUGUCAUCGAGGCUGCGGAGCAGCUGGAGGUGCUACACCCCGGGGACGUGGCCGAAUUCCGCAGGAAGGCGAUGAAGGACCGGGACCUGCUGGUUGUGGCCCAUGAUCUGAUCCGGAAGAUGUCACCUCGCACAGGUGACACCAAGCCCAACUUCUUCCAGGAUUGCCUAAUGGAAGUUUUUGACAGCCUGGAGCAGCACAUCCAGAACCCUGUGGUGCUGCAGUCCAUCCUCAGCCUGAUGGACAGGGGCACCUUGGUGCUGACCACUAACUAUGACAACCUGCUGGAGAUCUUUGGACAGCAGCAGAACAAGCCCAUGGAGUCCCUGGACUUGAAGGACAAGACCAAGGUCCUGCAGUGGGCAAGAGGCCACAUCAAGUAUGGAGUUCUUCACAUUCAUGGCUUAUACACAGACCCCUGUGGGAUGGUGUUGGAUCCAUCAGGAUAUAAAGAUGUCACUCAAGACCCAGAAGUAAUGGAAGUCCUACAAAACCUGUACCGCACCAAGUCGUUUCUGUUUGUGGGCUGUGGAGAGACCCUCCGAGACCAGAUAUUCCAAGCUCUCUUCCUGUACUCGGUGCCAAAUAAGGUGGACUUAGAGCAUUACAUGGUGGUGCUCAAGGAAAAUGAAGACCAUUUCUUUAAGCAUCAAGCAGAUAUGCUUCUGCAUGGGAUUAAAGUUGUGUCGUAUGGGGACUGCUUUGACCAUUUCCCAGGAUACGUGCAAGACCUUGCCACUCAGAUCUGCAAGCAGCAAAGUCCAGAUGCUGAGCGAGUGGACAGCACCACCUUAUUGGGUGAGGCAACUCCUAGCUGUGAGUCCCUAUAACAAUCAAAAAUGAAAAUGUACAAACUCCAGCGUACAGGUGGCAGAAUAAACACUCAUUGUUCCAAAAGGAAGGAAUCGGGUAAUGAAAAGGAGGGAUUAGACAAAGCAAGAUCCAAACCCAGCAGGGCAAACAGUAAUGCAUGUCAGGAUUGUGCAAAGAGGAAGUUGGAAGAGAACGGAAUUGAAGUUUCAAAAAAAAUCAGACAAUCAGAUACGGAUGAUGCUGGAGGGUCUUGAAAACUUUAGCUAAAGCCUGAAAGUUGAAAACCAGCCUUCUGUAACCACAGUGCCAUGCCCAAGCAAUGAGGAAUGUACAGAGGACUCCAUAUAGAUCUCAGUCCUAAAAUGCCACAUACCCCAAGACAGCCAUGUGGGUGUGUGGCCCUCGAGGUUGAAUGACAGCUCCACUGUAUAUGUUUAGCUGCUCAGGAGGUGACAUGGACACACUUCAGAUAUACUCUGUAGGGACUAAUGGUCAGCUACCUCAGGGACCAAAUUGGGGUCGGGACUGGUGGGGUGUACCUGACAUUGUUUCCUGUUCCCAUUGGAAUGCUGUCCCUCAUCGGAGUGUUAUUUCCCCAAUAAAAGGGCCAGAGUGAAAGAUUGUCCACGCAACAGAGUUGCCAAAGAGCAAAGACUUCGACGUUUAUGUGUCAUACCUUAGUGGAAACAUCUUUUACUGUAGAAAAACUUUGGAGGAUGCAUUGUUACAUUGUUAAAUAGUAAAUAAAUGGAUAGCAGCACACUGACUCCAUCAGUAGAGAUGGAUGACCAGAGCAAUAGAGUUUCUUUGGAAUGACAACAUUUUAGUCAUUUCUGUUCCAAAGAAAUGGCAGGCCUUUCUGUUGUGAGGUCCAGAGAGCCAGAGGACCUUUCCAGAAGGGCUUCAAUGUUGUUCAAACCCACGAUGUGUCUUAUAAGCUAAGAAAGUAAAAGCGAAGCAUAAGAUGAGGCUUUAAACUUUCAGUUAGGUUUUAAGUUCCAAGUUUUCCAUGUUUUCUUUAGGGUUAGGUCCAGCCUUUCUGUCCUGUCUCUUCAGAUUCUCUUCCCACAGUUCAUACUAGGGAUGUACAUGCAGUGAGGUCGGCAAAACUUGCAAAAGGCCUGCCACAUUCUAAAUGCUUUCAGACCAUGCCUGUUUAGAAGCACCUUGCUCAGUGUAUGUACCACAUAUGCCCAGAGUUCAUGACAUGCGGUGAGGGUUACUAAAAGGAAGGCUUCUUUUUUGAAACAAGCCCUGCAUGGUUCUGUUGAGGCUGCCCAUCUGAUAGGACAUUUCUUGCCAAGCCCUCUGCCUGUGACAAUGCCUGGAUGGCACCGUAGCUUCCAAGGGUACAGGAGGAAAGAACAGGAAACAGGCUGAGCCAUAGAAGGAAUGAGGGAGAAACCAGAGGCAUGCUGAAGAUCUCUCCCCUUUCUAAGUGUGGAAAGUAAACCUUAUGUGACUUGGUUAUAAUAAAAUCUUAAAGUCAA
Molecule: RNA transcript, 2703 nt
Organism: Nannospalax galili (Upper Galilee mountains blind mole rat)
Lineage: Eukaryota; Metazoa; Chordata; Mammalia; Rodentia; Spalacidae
Gene: Siral2
Gene name: family with sequence similarity 118 member A
Exons: 10
Source: RefSeq, a predicted model, not a curated record